GAUUAUGGCUCAGGAUGAACGCUGGCGGCGUGCUUAACACAUGCAAGUCGAGCGGAGAGUAUUAAGUUGAGAGCUUCGGCAGGAUCUUAAUAAUCUUAGCGGUGGACGGGUGAGUAACGUGUGGGCAACCUGCCCUGUACUGUGGAAUAAUCACUGGAAACGGUGACUAAUACCGCAUGUCAUCACGAGGAGGCAUCUCCUUGUGAGAAAAGGAUUUAUUCGGUACAGGAUGGGCCCGCAUCUGAUUAGCUAGUUGGUGAGAUAACAGCCCACCAAGGCAACGAUCAGUAGCCGACCUGAGAGGGUGAUCGGCCACAUUGGGACUGAGACACGGCCCAAACUCCUACGGGAGGCGGCAGUGGGGAAUAUUGCACAAUGGGCGAAAGCCCUGAUGCAGCAACGCCGCGUGAAGGAUGAAGGGUUUCGGCUCGUAAACUUCUAUCAAUACGGACGAAAAACCUGACGGUACCUAACUUAGAGCCCGGCUACUACGUGCCAGCCGCCGC
RNAcentral lists this ribosomal RNA (506 nucleotides) under uncultured bacterium. Its description in RNAcentral is "bacterial SSU rRNA". It matches the Rfam family "Bacterial small subunit ribosomal RNA", at positions 15 to 518 of the family's 1533-position model. The record is from RNAcentral.